This is a long non-coding RNA of Carya illinoinensis, 2753 nucleotides long. RefSeq lists it as uncharacterized. NCBI's taxonomy places the organism in Eukaryota, Viridiplantae, Streptophyta, Magnoliopsida, Fagales, Juglandaceae. The transcript has 3 exons. The record is from RefSeq and is a predicted model, not a curated record.
AAUUGCAUUUAUUCAGUUUUUGCCUUCUGCGACUUCCCUUCCCGUCCUUCCCAAAUCGGCUAUGAAGCUCUCGUGUCUCAACCCUUAAUCUCAUCUCAGCCGUCGUGGCCACCACUUAGCUCGAAAACUGCAGUUGCUGUCGUCGUCGCACCUCCAGGUAAUAUUUCCUCUCUCUCUCCUCAUGAUUGUUCUCCUAUACAUGUAACCCUAGAUCCCAUGCCCUCCAAUUUACAUGAAUCUGUUCUAGAGCCCCUUCAACCCAUCAACUCAGACUCAUUCAAUGAUCACACGGUCAAUGAAUAACAUAUAAAAACCCAAACAGCUUCAUAAUAUCACCAAACACUCAUUACCCUCAUCCAUUGAACCUACAUGUGUCAGUCAAGCCGUGUCUCACCCAAAGUGGCAUGAGGUUAUGUCUAGUAAGCUUACUACUCUUAUGAGACAUGGUACAUGGGAUUUGGUACCACCACCAAAAGAUUGUCACCCUGUGGGCUGUAAAUGGGUUUUUAGGGUCAAAUGGCAUGCAGAUGGCUCAGUUGACAGAUUUAAGGCUAGACUUAUGGCCAAGGGCUAUAAUCAACGCCCAAGAAUUGACUAUAAGGAGACCAUUAGUCCAGUUAUCAAACCUGCGACAAUUAGGUCUGUUUUAGCAAUUGUCGUGCUAAAGGGUUGGGAAUUAAGACAAAUGGAUAUCAACAAUGCGUUUUUACACGGUCACUUGACAGAAACUGUUUAUAUAACAUAGCCUCCAGGCUUCAAGGACCGGUCCAAACCUGAGCAUGUCUGUAGAUUAAGAAAGGCUACCUAUGGGCUUAAACAAGCUCCACGAGCAUGGUACUCAGAACUUAAAAAUGCCAUUACUCAGCUUGGGUUUCACAACUCUCAUGCUGACUCUUCUCUAUUUAUUUAUGCUCAUGCAUCCAUUACAUGUACUUACUUGUGUAUAUUGAUGAUUUGAUUAUUACGGGCAACGAUACAAAGUUUGUGUCAUCUGUUAUUCACAAGCUUGGUGCUCAGUUCUCAUUAAAAGACAUGGGUCUGUUACAUUACUUUCUUGGAGUGGAGGUUAUCUGGUUUAUUUUUAUCCCAACAUAAAUAUGUUCGUGAUAUUUUGGAAAGCACAAACAUGUUGGGUGCAAAGGAUGUCUCCACUCCACUUUCAACAAGCACCUCUCUUCAACUCUUGGAUGGCACUGCAGCAGUGGAUAGCACUGAAUAUAGAUGUGUUUCAUAUCUCUUUCAACGACUUCCAGUGACCUGCAAUCAGAAGAUAGGUGGGGCUCGGUGUAUUGGGGGACACCUCCAAUGUUUAAGUCAUUAUACAAAUUUUGAAGUGUUUCGAGUCUCAGAACUUUCAGAAGUUUACUGAAAUUAGUCAAUGACCUACAUUCUGAUUUUAGGUCACUGAAAAUUGUUGGCAGAGAUACGAAAUACGUUCGUAACAACAAGAGAAAAAUACCGGGUGACCAGGGAGUGGCUAUGGCAGAAGUACGAAUAAUGCAUGAUCAACUGAUAUUACCGUCCAGCCGAUUUGCAUGAAUGGAGGCUCUUUUACGUCAGAUGGUGGCAGCCCGAAAAAUGGUAUCAGUGCAAGAAAGUGCAAAACAGACAGAUCGACGGCUCAAAGAAAUUGCGAAUGAUAUAUCUGGUUAAAUUAAUUCAUGGAGGAAACUAUCUCAGCCAAUGCAGAACAAAUGGUUUGAGAAUGGCUGUCCAAAUGGUUUGAAGGUCCAACAGCCAUAUAUGGCUCUGUUACGCGUGAGGACGUUGAAUUUAAUAUUAAUUGGAGCACCCAUGCUCCUUUCUUGACCAUACGAUAUGAAGAUAUAUACAUUGCCAAAGUGAUGAUUUUAAUGAUCAUAUUUGGACCAACAUUUGGUUUGCACGAUAACAAAGGUUUUACCGAUCCUAUAAUAGGCACCUCGAGCGGCUUAUUCCAAAUACGCACUCACUCACAUUCCCAAUGGAUUUGACAUGCUGAUGGAGGUGGGCAGGCAUGGCCUUACCUAUAUUUUAGUUCUAAAGGAUGAUCCACUACUGUUGACCAAGACUUCUUCUAACUUUGAAUUCCCAGCCUGAUUUUCUUUUUCUUUGUUUUUAUCCGAGAGUUGAAUUUAGUCAGGUAUUCAAGGUACAUACGUAGUGAAUGGUGACGGGAUUUCCUUAUAGAUUCGGGCAUCAAGUAGGCCCGGCCUAUACAAGUAUUAUGGGCCACAUUGUUCUUUCCCCAGCGAUAUCUUACGAAGUGGUCGUGCCCAGAACUGAUUCACUCUCUCUUUGAUCUGGUCCAUGGUUUUGAACUUCAAUUAUAUAAUUGAGGUAUUGGUCCGAACACAUGUUGUUAUUAUUAUUAUAAUUGUUGAUAUUUUGAGGUUGAGAUAUUGGUCUGUCACAUUGAUUUUCUCUUCUGAGAAUGCAAUUAAGCUAGAGAUUAGUAUCUUCCCAUAUAAUAGAGGUAAGUUGGAGGUGUCGUUGGAGUCCACUAGACCUAUCGAGGAGGAAUCGCAAUCACUCGGCCUAUAUUAUGGUGGAAGCACAAUCUUUCUAUCUGAAGCCGCCCACUUAUAAAACUGCAUCCAUGUUUGGUGGUCCCCAUUUACGUACAGUACUGCCUAAGAUUUGGAUGAUACAAGGAUAAACAAGCUGGGAAACAAAAGCAAUAUUGCAGGAGUAUAUAUGGACUUUUUGUAAGUGGAAGAAUAUAUAUAUAUAUAAUGAUGUGCACGAACCACACCAAUUGUCAAAAAUCUAAU